AUUGCCAAAGGCAAAGGGGAGGUGCACUAACGAAUAAAGAAGGUUAUUGUGACAGAUGAAACAUAAUUCACAAUGAAUACUCUUUUCAUUCAGACUUAACAUGGAAGAGGAUUAGUCCAAGCUGAAUUUUAGGAGAAAAAGUAGACUUCAUUCCAAUAAUAAAAGGACAUGCCAGAAACUGGAAAACUACUGUAAAUGCAAACAGGAUUUUGCUCAUGAUUUUGGAUUGUUUCAUAUCAGAAGAAAUAUUAAACUAAGGAAAGUUGAAGAUAAAUAGCCAAUAGAAACCAAAAUGAUAUGUGAUUUUUUUUUCUAGACAGGAUCAUGAUGAAUGCUUAUACUAUGUUUCUUCUUCAUUUGACAGAGAUUUAAUUAAUGAAAAAUGUUUGUUUUUCUUCAGUAAAUGCGUUCUUUGAAAGAAUAUUCUACUGAGCACAAUUAUACUUCAGAAAGACCUAUUCUGCUAUGAAACUGUUUCGUUGUGAAAUUGAAGCAGAAAUACCAAGGCUGUAAGCUGUGUUUGCUUGCCACUGCUUUCCUCGUCCUGCUGUUUUUCUUUCUUUCUUUCUUUUUUCUAAGAGCUCUUGAGCUGAUUUGUUUUCCUAUUGCCGAUCUGCCAGCAACAGCAUUCAGCGAGCCUCGAAGGUUUCAUUUUGGGCUUUUGGUUUGGGUGGAUGGGAGUGGGGAAGAGAAUGGGUUAUAAAUGUUAUAUGCAAACAGCCUAAAGCAAACAAACAAGCAGAAUAUAUAUAAUACAGAUUGCUGGUAGGGAAGAUGAGAAAACUUGUAGUAAAGGAAGAACUGUAAUCCACAUACAGGUCCUGUUUCACUGAAUGGGUAAUUAAAGGAUGAAAUGUCUUCCAUUUAUAGUUGUCAAGAUAUUUAAUUUAACCAAGGAUAUUAAGGCAAUUAGCAACAUCACUAAGUUACCAAAGAUCAAAUGGUAGCAAUAUUAAAAAUUAAACUUGUUCUACAAAUUUAAAUAUAUUUCUCUAAGUAAUAUUCUUAUUUGAUACAGCUGGGGUUUAAUAAAUUCUGAUAUCAAUUUCUGAUUACUUACUUAUUUAUUUAUGUAGCCCAAAAAAGUUAUUGGUGCUAGGAUAAAAUCCAAGCUAAUCCAAUACCUCAAUGGCAGAAAUGCUAGUGAAAGAAAUAGCACAAUUAGUACAAGAAAAAAUCUAUUCAACUAAGCGUAAAUUGUGAAAAUGUACAGAAUCAAAGUGACAAAAUGUUGUCCUAACACAAUAUGACUAUUAUUGAAUAGUUUUGCUCUGCUGUUUAGCUUAGGAUGUUUCAAACAUAAAUGACUAUGUUUAUGUGUCAAAUAUAAAUGACUAUUAAUAUGCAUUAGGAAACUGAUAAUCAUAUUACACAAACAGUUUGCACUAUAAAUUAUUUUAAAAAUCAUGUUUUGCCUUCCUUUUUCCUUCCUUCUAUGCAUGAAAUGCUAUGAAUAAACAAUAAUUCUUGAAUAUUUUGUCAGCAUAAGCUGUGGUAGUUAUCUUCCCCAGUUCUGCAAUGCUGCCUCAUUGUGUCAGGGGUAUUAUUAGAAAUAAAUGAGUAAACAACACCAAGAUUGUAUUUUAAGACAGUUCUUCCAGUAGGGUGACCUAAGGCAUGAAGAUCACCUAAGCUUUUCAGCUAAAGCAACCAAGUGGCUAUAUCAGGCAGCAUCAAUUCUGGAGAAAGAUUUACCAGUUUCUGCCACUUCAAGGUAUACCAAGCAAAGGACAGACAAUAUUGGAAUUGCAGGAAUGCUACU
Molecule: long non-coding RNA, 1762 nt
Organism: Protobothrops mucrosquamatus (brown spotted pit viper)
Lineage: Eukaryota; Metazoa; Chordata; Lepidosauria; Squamata; Viperidae
Exons: 3
Source: RefSeq, a predicted model, not a curated record